This 459-nucleotide ribosomal RNA is filed under the name uncultured bacterium. RNAcentral's name for it is "partial 16S ribosomal RNA". It matches the Rfam family "Bacterial small subunit ribosomal RNA", at positions 339 to 795 of the family's 1533-position model. The record is from RNAcentral.
CUACGGGCGGCUCCAGUGAGGAAUAUUGGUCAAUGGCCGGAAGGCUGAACCAGCCAUCCCGCGUGCAGGAUGACGGCCCUAUGGGUUGUAAACUGCUUUUUUGCGCCAAGAAACCUGUCUACGAGUAGACAGUUGACGGUAGCGUAAGAAUAAGCAUCGGCUAACUCCGUGCCAGCAGCCGCGGUAAUACGGAGGAUGCAAGCGUUAUCCGGAUUCAUUGGGUUUAAAGGGUGCGCAGGUGGGCCUGUAAGUCAGUGGUGAAAUGCUGCCGCUUAACGGUAGAAUUGCCAUUGAUACUGCGAGUCUUGAGUAUGGUUGAGGUAGGCGGAAUGUGUUGUGUAGCGGUGAAAUGCAUAGAUAUGACACAGAACGCCGAUUGCGAAGGCAGCUUACUAAGCCAUUACUGACACUGAGGCACGAAAGCGUGGGGAGCGAACAGGAUUAGAUACCCUCGUAGUC